AAUUAAGAGCGCUUAUUCAUUUUUUCUGCUAUUGCAGUUUUGCUAACUUUUUUGUGCUACACGUCGUUCAUUAAAAAAUUCUGUGAGAUUUAAUUAUAUAUAAAAUUCUACAAUAAAAUAUUAUAUUUAAUUACAUUUAAUUGCCGGAGAAGUAAAGAUAUAAGAUAUAAGAAGUAAAGACAUAAGAAAGGAUAGAAGAAAGGAAGCCUCAUCGAGGUCGCAGGUGGCGAUGCUCAAAGCUAAUUAUGCGAACAUAGCAUAGGAUCGGUAUCGUUCUCACAAAUCCCCUUUCUCUUGUAUGUGCCAACGGCCUGUGAGAUGAGACGAAAGAGGGUAGUUUGGGGUUGGAUAGGUGAUACGAUACGAAAAGAGAAGUGCAGACUUGACUGCGCUAUAACGGAUUAACGGCUGCGAUUUAUUCGCAAAGAAAACAAUAUGAUCGCCAUUCGGAAAAUUCUCGAUUAUAAUGUUUUAAUAUGAUUCGAAAAGAGAUUUAAUAUAAUUCUAAGAGAAAAUAAAGAUUGAUAUUUUGCAAAAGAC
Molecule: long non-coding RNA, 540 nt
Filed under: Polistes fuscatus (common paper wasp)
Lineage: Eukaryota; Metazoa; Arthropoda; Insecta; Hymenoptera; Vespidae
Description: uncharacterized LOC122521380
Source: RNAcentral